RNAcentral lists this ribosomal RNA (442 nucleotides) under uncultured bacterium. RNAcentral describes it as "partial 16S ribosomal RNA". It matches the Rfam family "Bacterial small subunit ribosomal RNA", at positions 338 to 795 of the family's 1533-position model. The record is from RNAcentral.
CCUACGGGAGGCAGCAGUGGGGAAUAUUGGGCAAUGGGCGCAAGCCUGACCCAGCAACGCCGCGUGAAGGAAGAAGGCUUUCGGGUUGUAAACUUCUUUUAUGAGGGACGAAAGAAAUGACGGUACCUCAUGAAUAAGCCACGGUUAACUACGUGCCAGCAGCCGCGGUAAUACGUAGGAUGCGAGCGUUAUCCGGAUUUAUUGGGUGAAAAGGGUGCGUAGGCGGUCCGGAAAGUCAGCGGUAAAAGCCCGGGGCUCAACCCCGGCGCGCCGGUGAAACUGUCGGACUAGAGACGGCGAGAAGUACGCGGAAUGCGCGGUGUAGCGGUGAAAUGCAUAGAUAUCGCGCAGAACUCCGAUUGCGAAGGCAGCGUACCGGCGCCGGACUGACGCUGAGGCACGAAAGCGUGGGUAUCGAACAGGAUUAGAUACCCUAGUAGUC